GGUUAAAUAGCACGUGAAAUUGUUGAAAGGGCAGCGCUUGUGACCAGACUUGCGCCUGGCCGAUCAUCCGGGGUUCUCCCCGGUGCACUCGGCCAGGCUCAGGCCAGCAUCGGUUCUCUCGGGGGGACAAAGGCUCCGGGAACGUAGCUCCCUCCGGGGAGUGUUAUAGCCCGGGGCGUAAUGCCCUCGAGGGGACCGAGGACCGCGCUUCGGCAAGGAUGCUGGCGUUACGGUCAUCAGCGACCCGUCUUGAAACACGGACCAAGAGCGAUUCGUUA
This 278-nucleotide ribosomal RNA is filed under the name Podospora bulbillosa. RNAcentral describes it as "partial 28S ribosomal RNA". It matches the Rfam family "Eukaryotic large subunit ribosomal RNA", at positions 386 to 683 of the family's 3401-position model. The record is from RNAcentral. Lineage: Eukaryota; Fungi; Ascomycota; Sordariomycetes; Sordariales; Podosporaceae.